RNAcentral lists this ribosomal RNA (489 nucleotides) under uncultured bacterium. RNAcentral's name for it is "bacterial SSU rRNA". It matches the Rfam family "Bacterial small subunit ribosomal RNA", at positions 21 to 507 of the family's 1533-position model. The record is from RNAcentral.
GGCUCAGAUUGAACGCUGGCGGCAUGCCUUACACAUGCAAGUCGAACGGCAGCACGGGGCAACCUGGUGGCGAGUGGCGAACGGGUGAGUAAUGCAUCGGAACGUGCCAUUGAGUGGGGGAUAACGUAGCGAAAGUUGCGCUAAUACCGCAUAUUCUGUGAGCAGGAAAGCAGGGGACCGCAAGGCCUUGCGCUCUUUGAGCGGCCGAUGUCAGAUUAGCUAGUUGGUGAGGUAACGGCUUACCAAGGCGACGAUCUGUAGCGGGUCUGAGAGGAUGAUCCGCCACACUGGAACUGAGACACGGUCCAGACUCCUGCGGGAGGCAGCAGUGGGGAAUUUUGGACAAUGGGCGCAAGCCUGAUCCAGCCAUGCCGCGUGAGUGAAGAAGGCCUUCGGGUUGUAAAGCUCUUUCGGCCGGGAAGAAAUCGCAUGGGUUAAUACCCUGUGUGGAUGACGGUACCGGAAUAAGAAGCACCGGCUAACUACGUG